Long non-coding RNA from Gadus macrocephalus (Pacific cod), 476 nucleotides. RefSeq lists it as uncharacterized. The transcript has 2 exons. Lineage: Eukaryota; Metazoa; Chordata; Actinopteri; Gadiformes; Gadidae. The record is from RefSeq and is a predicted model, not a curated record.
AUAUUAACAUGACUCCGCCCAGUAGUGAGUAUUAACAUGACAGUAGUGAGUACAUAACAUGACAGGGGCCGUAGUGAGUAUAUAACAUGAUAGUAGUGAGUACAUUAACAUGACAUUAGUGAAUACAUUAACAUGACAGGGACUAAAGCGAGAACAUUAACAUGACAUUGGAGAGUACAUUAACAUGACAGGGACAAUAGUGAGUAUACUAACAUGACGGGGAUAGUAGUGAGUAUAUUAACAUGACAGGGACUAGUGAGUACAUUAACAUGACAGGGACAGUAAUGAAUACAUUAACAUGACAGGGACAAUAGUGAGUCUAUUAACAUGACAGGGACAAUAGUGAGUCUAUUGACAUGACAGGGACAAUAGUGAGUCUAUUAACAUGACAGGGAAAAUAGUGAGUUUAUAUACUCACUAUUACUACAUGGGGGUGAUGGCUGACAUUAAGAAAGGGUCAAUAGUGAGUAUAUUAA